Molecule: ribosomal RNA, 607 nt
Filed under: uncultured bacterium
Lineage: Bacteria
Description: bacterial SSU rRNA
Rfam family: Bacterial small subunit ribosomal RNA
Source: RNAcentral
CCUACGGGAGGCAGCAGUAAGGAAUAUUGGUCAAUGGAGGCAACUCUGAACCAGCCAUGCCGCGUGCAGGAUGACGGCCCUAUGGGUUGUAAACUGCUUUUAUACAAGAGAAAACCCUGGUACGUGUACCAGGUUGAUAGUAUUGUAAGAAUAAGCAUCGGCUAACUUCGUGCCAGCAGCCGCGGUAAGACGAAGGAUGCAAGCGUUAUCCGGAUUCAUUGGGUUUAAAGGGUGCGUAGGCGGACUGAUAAGUCAGUGGUGAAAUCUCUUUGCUUAACAAAGAAACUGCCAUUGAUACUGUCGGUCUAGAGUAUAGAUGACGUUGGCGGAAUAUGACAUGUAGUGGUGAAAUACUUAGAUAUGUCAUAGAACACCGAUCGCGAAGGCAGCUAACGAAACUAUAACUGACGCUGAGGCACGAAAGUGCGGGGAUCAAACAGGAUUAGAUACCCUGGUAGUCCGCACCGUAAACGAUGAUUACUCGUUGUUGGCGAUAUGACAGUCAGCGACCAAGCGAAAGCGAUAAGAAUCCACCUGGGGAGUACGCCGGCAACGGUGAAACUUAAAGGAAUUGACGGNNGAGAGNGCGAGGAGACAGAGGGAGAGG